UUCCUGGUGGUCCAGUGGUUAGAACUCCACGCUUUUACUGUUGAUGGCCUGGGUUCAAGCCCUUGUCAGGGAA
Molecule: transfer RNA, 73 nt
Filed under: Bos taurus (domestic cattle)
Lineage: Eukaryota; Metazoa; Chordata; Mammalia; Artiodactyla; Bovidae
Also listed under: 2 other names
Rfam family: tRNA
About the family: Transfer RNA (tRNA) molecules are approximately 80 nucleotides in length. Their secondary structure includes four short double-helical elements and three loops (D, anti-codon, and T loops).
Source: Rfam by way of RNAcentral